AAGUCACCAACCGUGAGAUCACGACCUAAGCCCAAGUCCGACGCUUAACCGACGGAGCCACCCAGGCGCAUCUCAAAAGCCUUUAAGAUAUUUAUGACAAUGAUAAACAUAUGUUUUCGCCAACUGUUUUCACAGGCAUUAUCUCCACUGCUGCAGAUAACCCUGUAAAGGAGGAGUUAGCAGCUUCCUUUUCUAAAUAACAUAACCACCCAUGUAUAUGGGCUUUAUAUAUACGAGGCACUUUACACAUAUGAAGUCAUUUUAGUGUCCCAAGCAACACGAAAAGGAGGCACAACUGUCCGCAGCUUGCCAAUGAGGAAAUGCUUAGAGGAACUGACCUGUCCAAGGUCACACACCCAGCAGGUGAUGAGCUGCGGUUCAAGCCUGGCUCUCCCAUCCCCGGGACCCGCAAACUUUGUCUGUAAACGGCCAGACACUAAAUAUUUUCAGCUUUGCAGGCCUCGUGGUCUGUGUCCCAGCUACUCCACUCAGCCAUUAGGACAAAAAAAAAAAAAACAGACACGGACGAUACAGAACAGACAUGCCUGGGUGUUCCAAUAAAACUUUAUUUACAAAAAACAGACAUGAGCUGAAUUUGGUCCACAGGCUGCGAUCGGCCCGUGUCUGUUUCAGACUCGAAACCCGCCUUCGGGUUCGGCCCUGGCAACGUAUCUUUCCCACUCUCUCUCCCUACCUGUGCCGCUACUAAGAGUUACGUUUUCGGUCAGAGACCCCUGGCUCUGGAGAGACUGAGUCGGCCUCUCGUUUCUUGAGGGAAUCACAAAGCUCUUGGAAUUUACAACUGCUAGGAAUUAUUAGUGACUGCCAUAACAGAACACGGGGGGGGCGGCCUUUUAAAAUUGUGAUUUUUUAGUAGCUGUGACUGGGGAACUUUUGAAGAGGAAAGUGUUCGAGUUUUAGAAAGAUACCUCAGCGGGGCACUGUGGCUGUGGAAGGAGCUUCUCCUCAGAGGAGAUCGUUUUCUGAAGUCUGUACGACUGGGAAAUAGAAUGAAAAACAUCUUAAGGCACGAGAAGGUGACUGAAAGGAAGACGGCCGCUCGUGCGUGCGCAGGGAGAGGGUGCAGGAGAGAGAGAGUUCCUUCUUAUCACCCAAAAAUUUAGCAUCUGCCACCACCCCCACCCCCCCCCCCCCCGCCACCCCACCCCCGGCAUCCUGAGCAAUCACUCGUGUGCUUUCUUCUCCGUCGAUGCGCCUGUUCUGGACAUUUCCUAUCAAUCACACGCGGCGUGACGCUUUGCGACUGGCUUCUUUCGUUCAGCAUCGCGCUCUCAAGGUCCGCCCACGCGGCAGCACGUGGCAGCACUUCCUUCCUUUUUUGUGGCCCAGCGCUGUCCACGUUUUAUUCACCCACCUGCCAGCUGACGGGCAUCUGGAUCGUUCGUACGUUUUGGCCAUCAGGGAUAACGCAGCGUUCCACACGUGCGUGGGUGUGCCCUGUCGCGGUCACUUCUCUUCCGCGUUAUACCUACAGGUGGCAUUUUCCGGGUUAUGUGGAAGAUGCGUGGUUGGCCUUUUAAGGAGUAUAUACUCAAAGGACGGAAAAUGCUGUUAGGAGCACCCCGGGCCCACCAUCCAGGGCCACCCAGUGCCAACCUUCGCCAGUGCUGACUCAUCUGCCUCCCGUCCUGCCCCCCACACCCCCGCCCCGUGACUCUCUGAAGAGUUCCAGAGCCAAUUCCAGCAGUGACUUGAGGAUGCUCCCUUGGCUGAGAGGUCGGCGCUUGUCUUUUGUCCCAGACCAACAGAGCCUCCUACACCCACAUCCUUGCGCGGACGGAAGUGGGGAGAAUGGGCGAACUGGGGCACGGUCCCGAGUGGGUCGACGUGGGAAAGGAAACAGCUCCUGAGAAAAGCAGGACUGGCUACAGAGUUGGCACAGGGAAAGUGUGGAGCCCUCGGUUCACAAAGUAUUAAGGAGUUCAAGAUGACAACAUCGGAGCGUUAAAGCAAACAUGGGCCUUGUGCAACCGUCCGUGUCACGUCCCCAGGAGGCCAGCGAAAAGGGUGCCCAGGCAGAACGAGUUCAUCAGACACGGGAAGUUAGAGCCUUGGUGCCUAGGAGAGACCUAAGCACCCCUCACCUCCAAGGCUUGGGACGUUUCCAAGGAAAGUUGGGUCUCCCAUGUGGGAGACAGUGGCACGUGGGACAGAGUUCAAGCCUAUUCCAUUGGAAUCUCCAAAAAUAAGAUGACCCCAGUUGACUUGUGGGUUAUAAGUACUUAAAAAAAAAAAGAAUUAGCCACUGGCCUUAAGCCUUCCUCCCUAAGAGCCUGCGGUUGUUUUAUUUAAGCCACGCCAUUUUGUCCUGGACCCUGAGUGUCCCCUGAUCUCACGGCAGGUGACGGGGCUUCAGGCUGAAGAACAGAGGCCCCCUGGUUAGCAAACAGUCCAGCGCAGCGGCAGGACCCGGGAUGCCCUUUCGAGGCAGGUGGCCACGGCGGACACCGGCAACCAAUCAUGGCGCCCCAAACCCUCUCAGCUCCAAAGAGCUCCACCGACCAAAUGAACCGGAUUUCCCGCGCUCGCGUCUCAACCCAGGAACGUAUCAGCUUUACUCAAGACCGCGAGAGACUCGAAGCCCCCAAGUGUGUGUUUGGAUGAUGCCCAGCGAGGCCCUCACGCCACCAGGGCCCUGUCACGGAGGGCAUACGACACGGCUGGGAAGGGGGGCCAGGGGACGAGAGAGGGACUCCUUGAGGAAAGAACAGAUAAGGACCUUGCACCUCCUCCGGGGGCAUGUGCAAUAAGUGAACGUUCACCCACGCACUCCGUUCUCCACCUACACCUUCACCUGUGGGUCAAGCAAUGCCCCGCUCAACACAGGGGCGGACCUAUAGGGGCAGGAGAGGCCAUCGCAAACCAAAGGUGAAAAAAAAAUUUUUUUUUUAAUUUGAUCAGAGUAACAUAAUGGCAGUAGCCAAAAAGAACUACGCCAGGUCUGAGUAAAUCCCGCAGGCAGCUUUGGGGCUGGGGGACAGAGGAGUGGAUCUCAAAGCGUCUGACCCAGGAUUGAGGCAAUUCUCGGCAGAGUCAAGGUAGAAGCAGCACAGCCAGCAGAUGUCUCCGGAGGGGUUGGGUGCCUCUGGGUUUUUGUUGUUGUUGUUGUUGUUGUUGUUAUUUGUGGGUCUUGUGUUUCGUGGGGGGUUUUUUGUUUUUUAUUUUUUGUUUUUUGCAAGCACCUGCUUCCCGCCUUCUGCCAACAGACCGGACGCCAUGUGCAAAUAUGGCCGAAGGUGGCCGUCACCCAUCCUUCAGCUAUAGUAAUUGGGCCAAACACGGGCACGUGACCAAAUAUGGCCAAUCACCGCCUCCCACUUCUGUGCCUGCCCACAAGCGGUCCGCGUGGGGUCAUGGGACCCAAGCAAGGCCAGACAAGGCUCGUCCUACCUGGACCUGGAGGAAAAGCUGCCUCGUCCCCACUCUCUGGCGUCCAGAGAUACCCGCGGUCUCAGAGACUGAGGAGGCACAUAGUACUCAUCUGGAUAAUCCAGCAUAAACUCAUCUCCAGAUCCUUGACUUAAACACCUCUUUUGCCACACAAGAUAAGCCCGCCAGUAAUUUUAGCGAAUGAGCCGUGGCACACAUAAAGGCCAGAGGAUGGAAACGCUCCGGGUUUUGAUAAAAAAGCAGUUCUGGCUCGGCUCGCCCCUGCUAGUCGCGCAAAGACCUAUCCGGAGAAGGGCUGAUGAAUUGAGGAACAAGAAACGAGGCCAACGUGAGUCUCCUUUCCAGCGCUGUGCUAAUAUGAAACCAAACAACUUGAAAUUGUUCCAAGAGGGGAUUAAAGCAACAUGCUAUUUUGAGUGAUUGCUUAAUUUAUUGAGCUGCGGCUAGAUCUGUAAUGAAAUACAGCCCUUGCAACUGAUAACGUCCUGCUGCAAUUGAACUUCUACAAUUAAGGAAUAUUUUCCAGGAGGUCCUGUGGAACCGCUUAGAACGUUUCGUCUCGGUGGCGGGGUGCUUCUGAGCGCUUUCACGGCAAGUUUGUUUCGUUUUGCUUUUUUAAAGAGCGACAGGCCGAUGUUAACAAGGAAGAAAACGGGCAUUUUACUGAA
Herpailurus yagouaroundi (jaguarundi) is the source of this 4079-nucleotide long non-coding RNA. RefSeq lists it as uncharacterized. Lineage: Eukaryota; Metazoa; Chordata; Mammalia; Carnivora; Felidae. The record is from RefSeq and is a predicted model, not a curated record. The transcript is spliced from 3 exons.